ACACGCAUGACACACUGCAUAUCAAUAAGCGGAGGAAAAGAAACUAACAAGGAUUCCCUUAGUAACGGCGAGUGAAGCGGGAAGAGCUCAAAUUUGAAAUCUUCAAGGUUCUGACCUUGACGAAUUGUAGUUUAUAAGAAGUGUUUUCGGUUAGUAGAGUAGUCAAAAGUUCUUUGGAAUAGGACAUCAUAGAGGGUGAGAAUCCCGUAUUUGAUCAUUCUUUCCUAGCUUUGUGAUACACUUUCAACGAGUCGGAUUGUUUGGGAAUGCAGUCCAAAAUGGGUGGUAAAUUUCAUCUAAAGCUAAAUAUUGGCGAGAGACCGAUAGCGAACAAGUACCGUGAGGGAAAGAUGAAAAGAACUUUGAAAAGAGAGUUAAACAGUACGUGAAAUUGUCAAAAGGGAAGCGUUUGACACCAGUGUUGUUUUUCCGAAAAUCAAUUACGAAUGUUUUGUUUUUGAGAAGUUAUGACUUCAUCGGCUUGCUUCUCUCUUUACGAAACUUUCUUAAUGCACUUUUCGGUUAACAAGUCAACAUCAAUUUCUUUUGUUGUAAAAGGGUAAGAGGAAGGUGGCUUUACUUUCGGAGAAAGUGUUUAUAGCCUUGUACCUCUGCAAUCGGAGAGAUUGAGGUCUGCAGCGUAGAUCCUUCGGGGUUAGAUACAUUUGUGCUAAGUUAUAGCUUUUCAUUAGACAACUUGUUGACUAUGUUAAGUCUUGUAGCUUACUCGCUUAUGCUAUUUUACCUACGCUUAGGAUGUUGAGCGCAUGUCUCUCUCU
This 779-nucleotide ribosomal RNA is filed under the name uncultured Neocallimastigales. Its description in RNAcentral is "partial large subunit ribosomal RNA". It matches the Rfam family "Eukaryotic large subunit ribosomal RNA", at positions 23 to 634 of the family's 3401-position model. The record is from RNAcentral. Lineage: Eukaryota; Fungi; Neocallimastigomycota; Neocallimastigomycetes; Neocallimastigales.